RNAcentral lists this ribosomal RNA (195 nucleotides) under uncultured bacterium. RNAcentral describes it as "partial 16S ribosomal RNA". It matches the Rfam family "Bacterial small subunit ribosomal RNA", at positions 338 to 524 of the family's 1533-position model. The record is from RNAcentral.
CCUACGGGAGGCAGCAGUGGGGAAUAUUGGACAAUGGGCGAAAGCCUGAUCCAGCCAUGCCGCGUGUGUGAAGAAGGUCUUCGGAUUGUAAAGCACUUUAAGUUGGGAGGAAGGGCAGUAAGUUAAUACCUUGCUGUUUUGACGUUACCAACAGAAUAAGCACCGGCUAACUUCGUGCCAGCAGCCCGCGGUAAU